GAAACAUGCUGCUAUAAAAGUAAGGGUUUUGGAAAAGCAGCUCAACAAAUUCCCUCUCAAUCCAACUGCAACAUUAUCUUGUUUUCUUCACGUGCCUUGUAGGACCUUGGCAUGGAUUGUUGGCCUGGUUUUAACAUGGAGAUUUUUUUUUUUUAAGCAAGCAUUUCUCUUGUCUGGGAAAAUGUGCCCACAGGGAUGGCAGGGAAUAUCCACGUUUUCUUUAUUUUUUAAAAACAUAUUUUGAUUGAG
This is a non-coding RNA of Pelobates cultripes (western spadefoot toad), 249 nucleotides long. The record is from the annotation of a GenBank genome assembly. Lineage: Eukaryota; Metazoa; Chordata; Amphibia; Anura; Pelobatidae.